UUCGCCAUGGGAGAUGGCAUGCCUCCCGUCCCGGAAUGCUCGCUCCCCCCAGGACAAACCGCUUCUCGCGCUCCUCGUGUUGAAGUUGAUGAUGCCUGCUCCCCC
This 105-nucleotide non-coding RNA is filed under the name Rhodanobacter spathiphylli. RNAcentral's name for it is "Fluoride sequence". It matches the Rfam family "Fluoride riboswitch aptamer (crcB RNA motif)". The record is from RNAcentral. Lineage: Bacteria; Pseudomonadati; Pseudomonadota; Gammaproteobacteria; Lysobacterales; Rhodanobacteraceae.